AUAUCAAUAAGCGGAGGAAAAGAAACCAACAGGGAUUGCCUCAGUAACGGCGAGUGAAGCGGCAACAGCUCAAAUUUGAAAUCUGGCCUCUUUGGGGUCCGAGUUGUAAUUUGUAGAGGAUGUUUCGGGUACCGCCCUGGUCUAAAUUUCUUGGAACAGAAUGUCAAAGAGGGUGAGAAUCCCGUCUUGGAUCGGCGGUAGGGCCCAUGUGAAACUCCUUCGACGAGUCGAGUUGUUUGGGAAUGCAGCUCAAAAUGGGUGGUAAAUUUCAUCUAAAGCUAAAUAUUGGCCAGAGACCGAUAGCGCACAAGUAGAGUGAUCGAAAGAUGAAAAGCACUUUGAAAAGAGAGUUAAACAGUAUGUGAAAUUGUUGAAAGGGAAGCGCUUGCAACCAGACUUGCGCGCGGCGGUUCCCCCUUCCUUUUGGUUGGGUUACUCCGCCGUGUCCAGGCCAACAUCGGUUCUGGGGGUUGGUUAAAGGCUUGGGGAAUGUAUCUACCCUUCGGGCGUAGACUUAUAGCCCCAGGUGUCAUGCAACCUCCCGGGACCGAGGAACGCGCUUCGGCUCGGAUGUUGGCGUAAUGGUUGUCAGCGACCCGUCUUGAAACACGGACCAAGGAGUCUAACAUCUAUGCGAGUGUUUGGGUGUCAAACCCGGAACGCGUAAUGAAAGUGAACGGAGGUAGGAAGCUUCGGCUGCACUAUCGACCGAUCCUGAAGUCUUCGGAUGGAUUUGAGUAAGAGCAUAGCUGUUGGGACCCGAAAGAUGGUGAACUAUGCCUGAAUAGGGUGAAGCCAGAGGAAACUCUGGUGGAGGCUCGCAGCGGUUCUGACGUGCAAAUCGAUCGUCAAAUUUGGGUAUAGGGGCGAAAGACUAAUCGAACCAUCUGGUAGCUGGUUCCUGCCGAAGUUUCCCUCAGGAUAGCAGUAACGUUUUCAGUUUUAUGAGGUAAAGCGAAUGAUUAGAGGCCUUGGGGUUGAAACAACCUUAACCUAUUCUCAAACUUUAAAUAUGUAAGAAGUCCUUGUUUCUUAAUUGAACGUGGACAUUCGAAUGUAUCGUUACUAGUGGGCCAUUUUUGGUAAGCAGAACUGGCGAUGCGGGAUGAACCGAACGUGAGGUUAAGGUGCCGGAAUGUACGCUCAUCAGACACCACAAAAGGUGUCAAUGCAUCUAGACAGCCGGACGGUGGCCAUGGAAGUCGGAAUCCGCUUAGGAGUGUGUAACAACUCACCGGCCGAAUGCAUUGGCCCUGAAAAUGGAUGGCGCUUAAGCGUGCUACCUAUACCUCGCCGUCAGGGUUGACAUGAUGCCCUGACGAGUAGGCAGGCGUGGAGGUCCGUGACGAAGC
This 1352-nucleotide ribosomal RNA is filed under the name Capronia fungicola. RNAcentral describes it as "LSU rRNA". It matches the Rfam family "Eukaryotic large subunit ribosomal RNA", at positions 40 to 1409 of the family's 3401-position model. Lineage: Eukaryota; Fungi; Ascomycota; Eurotiomycetes; Chaetothyriales; Herpotrichiellaceae. The record is from RNAcentral.